GAGUUUGAUCCUGGCUCAGAUUGAACGCUGGCGGCAGGCUUAACACAUGCAAGUCGAACGGUAACAGGGAGAAGCUUGCUUCUUUGCUGACGAGUGGCGGACGGGUGAGUAAUGCUUGGGAAUCUGGCUUAUGGAGGGGGAUAACUACGGGAAACUGUAGCUAAUACCGCGUAAUAUCUUCGGAUUAAAGGGUGGGACUUUCGGGCCACCUGCCAUAAGAUGAGCCCAAGUGGGAUUAGGUAGUUGGUGGGGUAAAGGCCUACCAAGCCGACGAUCUCUAGCUGGUCUGAGAGGAUGACCAGCCACACUGGAACUGAGACACGGUCCAGACUCCUACGGGAGGCAGCAGUGGGGAAUAUUGCACAAUGGGGGGAACCCUGAUGCAGCCAUGCCGCGUGAAUGAAGAAGGCCUUCGGGUUGUAAAGUUCUUUCGGUGAUGAGGAAGGUGUUUGUUUUAAUAGAACAAGCAAUUGACGUUAGUCACAGAAGAAGCACCGGCUAACUCCGUGCCAGCAGCCGCGGUAAUACGGAGGGUGCGAGCGUUAAUCGGAAUGACUGGGCGUAAAGGGCACGCAGGCGGUGACUUAAGUGAGAUGUGAAAGCCCCGAGCUUAACUUGGGAAUUGCAUUUCAUACUGGGUCGCUAGAGUACUUUAGGGAGGGGUAGAAUUCCACGUGUAGCGGUGAAAUGCGUAGA
RNAcentral lists this ribosomal RNA (696 nucleotides) under uncultured bacterium. RNAcentral describes it as "bacterial SSU rRNA". It matches the Rfam family "Bacterial small subunit ribosomal RNA", at positions 9 to 694 of the family's 1533-position model. The record is from RNAcentral.